RNAcentral lists this ribosomal RNA (22 nucleotides) under uncultured Lactobacillaceae bacterium. RNAcentral describes it as "partial 23S ribosomal RNA". The record is from RNAcentral. Lineage: Bacteria; Bacillati; Bacillota; Bacilli; Lactobacillales; Lactobacillaceae.
GGUUAAGUUAUUAAGGGCGCAU